RNAcentral lists this ribosomal RNA (502 nucleotides) under Myriotrochus sp. AKM-2016. RNAcentral's name for it is "partial 16S ribosomal RNA". It matches the Rfam family "Bacterial large subunit ribosomal RNA", at positions 1814 to 2599 of the family's 2925-position model. Lineage: Eukaryota; Metazoa; Echinodermata; Holothuroidea; Apodida; Myriotrochidae. The record is from RNAcentral.
CAUAGCCUAAAGUAAAUAACGUUUUAGGUAAUUUCUGCUCAGUGCUUAUUUUAGUAAACAGCUGCGAGAAAUCGUACAAAGGUAGCAUAAUAAAUUGUCCAUUAAUUGUGGUCUAGUAUCAACGAAAAAACAUAUAUUGAUUGUCUUCUUUUUAAAGAUUAGAAAUUUGUUUUAUAGUCAAAAAACUAUAAUAAUAAUAUAAGACGAGAAGACCCUAUUGAGUUUUAAUUUAACUAAAAGAAUAUUUAAUCUCUUAGUGAGUUUUAGUUGGGGUAACUGAAGGGUAAAUAAACCCCCUUCUUAUUUCUCAAAAAAUUAUAAUUUAUUAAUUAGACCCAAUUUUUAAUAUUGAUAAUAAGAAAAAAUUACCAUAGGGAUAACAGCUUAAUUUUUUUUAAUAGUACAUAUUGACAAAAAAGUUUGUGACCUCGAUGUUGGAUUGGGUUUUCCUUUUAAAGCAAAAAUUAAAUAAGGUUAGAUUGUUCAUCUAUUAAAAACCUAC